UUACGAUCAUAUCACGUUGAAACUCCGGUUCUCAAACGAUCACUGAAGUUAAGCAAAGUAUAGCCUGGUCAGUACCUAGAUGGGUGACCGCUUGGGAAUACCAGGUGUUGUGA
Acanthosepion pharaonis is the source of this 113-nucleotide non-coding RNA. The record is from the annotation of a GenBank genome assembly. Lineage: Eukaryota; Metazoa; Mollusca; Cephalopoda; Sepiida; Sepiidae.